RNAcentral lists this ribosomal RNA (987 nucleotides) under Plasmodium knowlesi. Its description in RNAcentral is "SSU rRNA". It matches the Rfam family "Eukaryotic small subunit ribosomal RNA", at positions 638 to 1428 of the family's 1831-position model. The record is from RNAcentral. Lineage: Eukaryota; Apicomplexa; Aconoidasida; Haemosporida; Plasmodiidae.
ACAUAACUGAUGCCUCCGCGUAUCGACUUUGUGCGCAUUUUAGCUAUUAUGUGUUCUUUUAAUUAAAAUGAUUCUUUUUAAGAUUCAUCUAUUAAGAAUUUGCUUCGGCAUAAUUUUUUUUGAUGAUCUUGUUACUUUGAGUAAAUUAGAGUGUUCAAAGCAAACAGAUAUAGCAUUUGUGCGUUUGAAUACUACAGCAUGGAAUAACAAAAUUGAACAAGUCAGAAUUUUUUUGUUCUUUUUUCUUAUUUUGGCUUAGUUACGAUUAAUAGGAGUAGCUUGGGGGCAUUUGUAUUCAGAUGUCAGAGGUGAAAUUCUUAGAUUUUCUGGAGACAAGCAACUGCGAAAGCAUUUGCCUAAAAUACUUCCAUUAAUCAAGAACGAAAGUUAAGGGAGUGAAGACGAUCAGAUACCGUCGUAAUCUUAACCAUAAACUAUGCCGACUAGGCUUUGGAUGAAAGAUUUUAAAAUAAGAGUUUUUCUUUUCUCUCCGGAGAUUAGAACUCUUAGAUUGCUUCCUUCAGUGCCUUAUGAGAAAUCAAAGUCUUUGGGUUCUGGGGCGAGUAUUCGCGCAAGCGAGAAAGUUAAAAGAAUUGACGGAAGGGCACCACCAGGCGUGGAGCUUGCGGCUUAAUUUGACUCAACACGGGAAAACUCACUAGUUUAAGACAAGAGUAGGAUUGACAGAUUAAUAGCUCUUUCUUGAUUUCUUGGAUGGUGAUGCAUGGCCGUUUUUAGUUCGUGAAUAUGAUUUGUCUGGUUAAUUCCGAUAACGAACGAGAUCUUAACCUGCUAAUUAGCGGCAAAUACGAUAUAUUCUUAUGUAGAAUUGAAUAUAGUGGAUUUGUUGGAUUUUGAAGAAAAUAUUGGAAUUACGUUAAAUGUGAUUCCUUUCCCUUUUCUACUUAAUUUACAUUUCCAUCUAUUUCUUUUUUGCGUAUGAAUGUAUUUGCUUGAUUGUAAAGCUUCUUAGAGGAACGAUGUGUG